Molecule: ribosomal RNA, 140 nt
Filed under: uncultured bacterium
Lineage: Bacteria
Description: partial 16S ribosomal RNA
Rfam family: Bacterial small subunit ribosomal RNA
Source: RNAcentral
UACGUUCCCGGGCCUUGUACACACCGCCCGUCACACCACGAAAGUCGGCAACACCCGAAGCCGGUGGCCUAACCCGCAAGGGAGGGAGCCGUCGAAGGUGGGGCCGGGUGAUUUGGGGGUGAAGUCGUAACAAGGUACCC